Molecule: long non-coding RNA, 1152 nt
Organism: Python bivittatus (Burmese python)
Lineage: Eukaryota; Metazoa; Chordata; Lepidosauria; Squamata; Pythonidae
Source: RefSeq, a predicted model, not a curated record
AUAAGGGCAGCGCAGGGAUGGUGUGGAGGAGGGGUUGGAGCAAAGCGUUAGGAGGCAAUUCCUCCCUCUAGGCGACGCUUCAGUGCGGGGCAGGGGCCGCAGCGCACCGCCAACCUUGUGUGGCUUCCCCAUCAUUGGCAUCUCAUUGAGUAGCCUUGGAGCAGUGACCCGUGCAGGCAUGCCAGGGGUUUGAGAUGGGCUAAGACUGGACAGGAGAGCCCAUUUGGUGUAGUGGUUAAGAUACCAGGCUAGAAACCAGGAGACCUUGAGGCGCACACAUACGAAAAGGGCUGGACAACCGUUGGAAGAGCUGAAGGACAGACUGACUGUUUUGUACACAACUUCUACAGCGCACAGUGGUAUCGUAGGCAACAAGUGAAGCCUGUGGCAUAUUCCUGAUUGCUAUUCCCUGUUGAAUAACAAAGAGAGAAGAACCUCUACUCAGAAUAGCCUUUGGAGGAUCACCUGGAAGGGGUGUCUUGGAAUGGAGGCCAACGUCUUUCACCCACAGCUAAUAUUUUGAAGGCCAGCCCAACAUAGAAACCUUUCUAAAAAGCUCUCAAGCACAACAUUGGAACAAAUUUAUUUUGGUAAGACUUUUGCCUGAAUCUCCUGCCCCAUGCUCUGAACAACUGAAAUAAGAAGAGUAAAGAUCUUGCAUAUGCAAGCAUAAACAACUAUAUAUACCACGAUCCUGAACGCACAGAGAUCAUAUGUUGGAGCAGGGGAGAGGGGCUGGAUCAACUUUUUGCUACCCAACAUCCUAUCUUCAUAGAUGGCUAGUGCAUCACGUUCUAUUCCUGUAACAAAUGAGACAGAACCUACAAUCACAAACUUGGGAUAAAGUCCUCUGGAUUAAACCAGUCAAUGAGGCAUUUAAGGAAUAAAGCAGAGGUCCGGAUCCUUCACAAAAUCAGGAGCUUAAUGAUUCAUUUCUUCAUCUCGGGAUACAUGACAAGGCCACUUCCAGACAGAAUGACUCCUAACUCUUAAUAAAUCAUGGGUUUUCUACUGCAAGCAGAAUCAUAAUCAACUGGCUACCUCCUUGGGGAUAUUGUGUGCUUUUGCUAUAUUUCAAUCCAUUAUGUUACAUCUGAUAACAUAAUAUCUUGCUAUAUUAUCUCUUUGCCCAGUCCAUCUGAGAAAAAAAGA